CCGCCUACGGGGGGCAGCAGUGGGGAAUAUUGGGCAAUGGGCGCAAGCCUGACCCAGCAACGCCGCGUGAAGGAAGAAGGCUUUCGGGUUGUAAACUUCUUUUAAGAGGGACGAAGGAAGUGACGGUACCUCUUGAAUAAGCCACGGCUAACUACGUGCCAGCAGCCGCGGUAAUACGUAGGUGGCAAGCGUUAUCCGGAUUUAUUGGGUGUAAAGGGCGUGUAGGCGGGAGCGCAAGUCAGAUGUGAAAACUCAGGGCUCAACCCUGAGCCUGCAUUUGAAACUGUGUUUCU
RNAcentral lists this ribosomal RNA (293 nucleotides) under uncultured bacterium. RNAcentral describes it as "partial 16S ribosomal RNA". It matches the Rfam family "Bacterial small subunit ribosomal RNA", at positions 335 to 642 of the family's 1533-position model. The record is from RNAcentral.